Molecule: ribosomal RNA, 175 nt
Filed under: uncultured bacterium
Lineage: Bacteria
Description: partial 16S ribosomal RNA
Rfam family: Bacterial small subunit ribosomal RNA
Source: RNAcentral
CCGUGAAGCUGGAUUCGCUAGUAAUCGCGCAUCAGCCAUGGCGCGGUGAAUACGUUCCCGGGCCUUGUACACACCGCCCGUCAAGCCAUGGGAGCCGGGGGUGCUUGAAGUGCGUCGCCGCAAGGCGCGCCCUAGAGCAAAACCGGUGACUGGGGCUAAGUCGUAACAAGGUAUC